This 406-nucleotide ribosomal RNA is filed under the name beta proteobacterium EK-CH-I1. RNAcentral describes it as "partial 16S ribosomal RNA". It matches the Rfam family "Bacterial small subunit ribosomal RNA", at positions 287 to 685 of the family's 1533-position model. Lineage: Bacteria; Pseudomonadati; Pseudomonadota; Betaproteobacteria. The record is from RNAcentral.
CUGGUUUGAGAGGACGACCAGCCACACUGGGACUGAGACNCGGNCCANACUCCUACGGGAGGCAGCNGNGGGGAAUUUUGGACAAUGGGGGAAACCCUGAUCCAGCCAUCCCGCGNGUGCGAUGAAGGCCUUCNGGUUGUAAAGCACUUUUGGCAGGAAAGAAACGUCAUGGGCUAAUACCCCGUGAAACUGACGGUACCUGCNGAAUAAGCACCGGCUAACUACNUGCCAGCAGCCGCGGUAAUACGNANGGNGCAANCGUUAAUCGGAAUUACUGGGCGUAAAGCGUGCGCAGGCGGUUCGGAAAGAAAGAUGUGAAAUCCCANAGCUUAACUUUGGAACUGCAUUUUUAACUACCGAGCUAGAGUGUGUCAGANGGAGGUGGAAUUCCGCGUGUANCGNUGAA